UUUCAUUUUUACGGUUUUUUCACCAUGAAAAUUGCAGUGUGCUUCUUAGAAAAGAGCAUGUAAGAGAUCCUUAAGCCAAUUCUUAUCAUUGUUCAUGACGGAAGAAGGACUUCACCCUACGUUCUGCUACGUCCUUAUCUUCCCGACGUACGCUCAUCCAGCUUCACUGCUUCAGUGCUUCUUAUGCUGCAAAACAAUUUUUCUUGCUUCACUGGCGAGUUGGAUCACUUCAGUUGCUGUGACACACCUGUAGUCACUCACCACGGGAUUAUGGCCAGGUAAUGCAGAGGAAACGUCGAGAAGAUGGACACUAAAACGUCGCCGGUGUCUCCAAAAAGUCAGCGCGGAUCAUCAUUUGUUGUUGGUAAUAUGUUUGUGUUAGUUAACCCGUUGUCUGCCACGCCUUUGUUUUCCCCUAGCUCCUUAGCACGGGCCGCGCU
This is a long non-coding RNA of Daphnia pulicaria, 440 nucleotides long. RefSeq lists it as uncharacterized. The transcript has 3 exons. The record is from RefSeq and is a predicted model, not a curated record. NCBI's taxonomy places the organism in Eukaryota, Metazoa, Arthropoda, Branchiopoda, Diplostraca, Daphniidae.